GCAUUGGUGGUUCGGGGGUAGAACUCUCACCUUCCAUGUAAGAGACCCAGGUUCAAUUCCCAGCCAGUACA
This 71-nucleotide transfer RNA is filed under the name Loxodonta africana (African savanna elephant). It matches the Rfam family "tRNA". From Rfam's summary of the family: Transfer RNA (tRNA) molecules are approximately 80 nucleotides in length. Their secondary structure includes four short double-helical elements and three loops (D, anti-codon, and T loops). Further hydrogen bonds mediate the characteristic L-shaped molecular structure. tRNAs have two regions of fundamental functional importance: the anti-codon, which is responsible for specific mRNA codon recognition, and the 3' end, to which the tRNAs corresponding amino acid is attached (by aminoacyl-tRNA synthetases). tRNAs cope with the degeneracy of the genetic code in two manners: having more than one tRNA (with a specific anti-codon) for a particular amino acid; and 'wobble' base-pairing, i.e. permitting non-standard base-pairing at the 3rd anti-codon position. The record is from Rfam by way of RNAcentral. Lineage: Eukaryota; Metazoa; Chordata; Mammalia; Proboscidea; Elephantidae.